GACAGAGGCCCCAAGCGUUAGGCGGAAUCACUGGGCUUAAAGCGUGUGUAGGCGGAUCGUUAAGUGUCUUGUGAAAUCCCACGGCUCACCCGUGGAACUGCUGGGCAUACUGGCGAUCUUGGGCCAACUAGGGGCAGCCGGAACAAGCGGUGGAGCGGUGAAAUGCGUAGAUAUCGCUUGGAACGCCGAAGGUGAAAACAGGCUGCUGGGGUUGCGCCGACGCUGAGACACGAAAGCCAGGGGAUCAAACGGG
Molecule: ribosomal RNA, 253 nt
Filed under: uncultured bacterium
Lineage: Bacteria
Description: partial 16S ribosomal RNA
Rfam family: Bacterial small subunit ribosomal RNA
Source: RNAcentral